UGUAUUAAGACUCAUUCCAUGUUACUGUUAGGGAACUCUUGUUUGAUCCAAUGUUUUGGUUUGAUACCUGAUUAUGUUUAUCUAGUGUUCUCUUAGGUCAGGGCAUUUUUUCUGGUACAUUUUUAUCAGAGAUCAAUAAUUUCAUACUUAUUUUCAAAUUUUUUAAAAUCAAAGUCACAGUGGUCAGAUCCAACUAGCUGUUUCUGCUUGAGGCAAAUUGGCACGUCUUUAUUUAAAAAAAAAAAAAGUGUCCAUAUAUUCACCAUCUGUUUUUUCCUGGUAAUUUUAUAAUUUCUUUCUGGACCUUGAGGUCCCAUAUUAUAUCUUGUCAAGUUUUUGUGACUGAUGAAACAUAGUUAUGGUAUCUGUUUAGGGUUUGAUAGUACUAGCUUUUCUGCAUCUGUAAGAUUAUUUAAGCCAAAAGUGAAGUGAACUUUAACUGUUACUAGAAAUUCAAAUAUUCAAGGGAUUGGUUAACAUUCAUUACCAUUUUUCUCCCGGGUCAUGUUAUUGAUUUGUUAAAAGGAAUUCUUGGUGAUCUUUAUGUACUGACAUAAGAACUUCAUAACCCCAAGGGUUGGGCUUAGUGGUGAAAGCCCUUGGUUAAAAUUCCGUUGGGCCAGACCUAGUUGGGACAUCUUGUUUGUGGGGUCCGGAGUAACUCACAGUUUAGAGUUCAGUGAAUAUGCAGAGAAACCCUAGAGAUGUCUGGGUAUCGAGUACUGUUUUUUUCCUUUGUAUGUCUUUCUUUCAUGUUUUGCUGAUAUAGCACUAAGAUUCCUCUAUCAUUGCAGACAGCUUUCAGGGUUAAAGCAAAAGAAUUUCACCCAGAUCACAACCAGGAUAAUAAAGAGGCUGCCGAGGUAAAAUUUAAGGAGGUAAUGGUGUCCUAUGAAGCUAUAAAGCAACAAAGGUAGGACAUGAAGUGAAGUGGCAAAUGUUCCACUGUUUUCAAAACAAAGCUCCAAUAUGUUUAACAGUAUCAUUCAACUUUCCUCCUGACUGUAUUUAGUUGUUGACAGAAGUCAUGGGUCCUCCGCGAUUUAAUAUUCCAGGAAGGAUCCGAGUAUGAAAUUUAGUGUUGAUGUUCUGCCAUUGUUGGAUCUCCAACAGAGACAUUGGUAUAAUUUGUUAACCCUAAACUUAUCCUUGAAUUAAAUCAUCUCUGUAGAUACCAUGGUUACAAAUUAUUUCCUUUUUCACUUGUUUGAA
This is a long non-coding RNA of Mangifera indica (mango), 1212 nucleotides long. RefSeq lists it as uncharacterized. The transcript is spliced from 2 exons. Lineage: Eukaryota; Viridiplantae; Streptophyta; Magnoliopsida; Sapindales; Anacardiaceae. The record is from RefSeq and is a predicted model, not a curated record.